Molecule: long non-coding RNA, 249 nt
Organism: Herpailurus yagouaroundi (jaguarundi)
Lineage: Eukaryota; Metazoa; Chordata; Mammalia; Carnivora; Felidae
Exons: 2
Source: RefSeq, a predicted model, not a curated record
UUUUCUUCAGAAUUCCAGGUACAAUAGAUUCUUCUCCCGCUGACAGUGCAUCACAGAACAUCCCAGUGGUGAUGGCUGCUCAGCUGCCUUUGGCUCAUUGCAGAAGUGACGAGCUAUUCAUGCAAGAUACAUGUCUCUGGGAAGACUGGUGGCUACAGACCCACAGCCAAUAUGUUCAGAACGGCACCAAGAGGCGAGUGAUGGAGGCUUUUCUGGGUGCCUUUGUCCUAUCCCAAUCAUGGGGGCAGC